This 481-nucleotide ribosomal RNA is filed under the name uncultured bacterium. RNAcentral describes it as "partial 16S ribosomal RNA". It matches the Rfam family "Bacterial small subunit ribosomal RNA", at positions 28 to 507 of the family's 1533-position model. The record is from RNAcentral.
GACGAACGUUGGCGGCGUGCUUAAUACAUGCAAGUCAACUGAAGCAGUGGUAGCAAUCUCGCUGUGGAGGUGGCGCACGGGUGAGUAACACGUAGGUAAUCUGCCUUCAGGUCUGGCAUAACUCCGGGAAACCGGGGCUAAUAGCAGAUGAUGCAGCGGCUCGACAUCGAGACAGUUGUUAAAGCUAUGGCGCCUGAAGAUGAGCCUGCGUCUGAUUAGCUAGUUGGCGGGGUAACGGCCCACCAAGGCGACGAUCAGUAGCUGGUCUGAGAGGAUGAUCAGCCACACUGGAACUGAGACACGGUCCAGACUCCUACGGGAGGCAGCAGUAAGGAAUAUUGCUCAAUGGGAGAAAUCCUGAAGCAGCAACGCCGCGUGAGGGACGAAGGGCUUUGGCUUGUAAACCUCUGUAGUGAGAGAAAAAAAUCCCAAUCUUUGGGACAUGAUGGUAUCUCAAAAGUAAGCCCCGGCUAACUACGUG